AGUGUGAAUGACAUUUCGUUAAAGAAUUUUCACCUUCGAGACAGGAAGAUGACCAAUACAAAUACUAUGUAAAGCAAUUAAGUACCGGAUUACUUUAAAAGAUGAGUUUCAUGUACUAUCGUGCCAGAAUUUUAGUGCCAAAAUUAGAAAAAUUAUUUAAUAAUGUUUUCUUCUCGACAAUAUAUAUUAUAAUAAGGCAAGAUGAAAAAUUUCGACAGUUUGCAUAAAAAUAUUUCAAAAAUAAGCAUCGCCUUUUUGUGACUUUUACUAUAAUACAUAUAUGCUGAUAGCUAUUUCGAAAAAUCAUCAACAUAAAAGCGAAGUCCAAAGUUGAAGGAAAUAUCUUUCACCAUUAAAAACUGCAAAUAGUACAACAGAAAUUCGAGUAACAACACCGCAAGCAAUGGCAACCACUCUGUGGCAAAGAAAACACUUGAUGCACUGAGUGUUCGCAAAAAUAGCAGAUGGUGCCAGAAAGCAAGAAAAGAAUGAGAAUGGAGCUUAAGUGCCUCGACUGUAAAAUUGUUUCUGCUUUAUAAAUAUAUAUAUGUGCAUAUAUACCCAUAUACUUUUAUACACAUAUAAGAAGGCAGAACCCUCGGAAAUUUGUGAACGACCGUCUAGUUAGUUAGUUGGCGGAGAACGUAGCAAAACCAAAACAUGGCUCGUUAACGAAAACUGACAUGGUGUAGUGUUGUGGCCAAACGAUAUUUAACAACAAACAUUGUUGAUAUUUUUAGGCUGAAACGUGAUUCUUUGUCGUAUGCGUGAUACGAGGGCUGUUCGAAGCGGGGUGUAGAAUUUAAAUUCAUUUGAUUGGUACUAACGAACAAAACAGAAGUCAGCAACAGUUGAGAGAAACCGAGAAAGGCUCUUCGAUGAUUAAAUAUACACAUAAGCCUAAAAACUUUGUUCUUUGGAAAAGCACUUAAAAGCUUGGAUCGAAAGUUUCAAGUGUACAAGGGAGUUGCAUGUCGAAACCGGAGAAAUCUACAACUACUUGCUACAAAAUAUGCUUCUCCAUAAGACUAUUCAUUACUUUGCACGCGCUUUGAAGCUCACUCUGCUUACUAAUCUUUUUGGAUAGUCCAACCCUUUCUUUCAAUGACAUUGACAGUUACCUCCAAUAACUUCUUAUUUCAUAGUAACGGAUAUAAAUAUUAUAUUCUCUUACUAAGGUAUUAAGUUGGUCUAUUCAAAUAAGAAAUAAAAAAUCACAGUCCUCAAUAAAAUUAAGUUGUAAAACUGUGCGGCAAUAACAUGAACUCAUUAACAGUAUGCUAGCAAAAUGAGAAGCAAUCUCUCAGUCGUCCUCCAACUUCAAACUUUUUCCCGACAAAUCAAAAGUAAUUUGCAAACCUUUUAUUUAAAAAUUUUUUUUAUUGUUAUUAUUCAUCAUUAUUUUCUCAUUCACAUAUCAUCAAGAACAAUUAACACUUUGACCUUUUGAAUAUUUGCAAAUAUACACCAACAUUUGCCGUUUUGUAAAUACAAUAAAUAACUUUACUUAUGUACAUAAGGUAUAUGUAUGUAUACAUAUAGUCGUAUAUAUAUUUAUUCAUGGCUACAGCCGGUAUACUGGUAUUUAAACCUUUUUCGGUGCGGGCAUUCAAUUCUAACUCAAUUAAUUUCCAAGAAAUUGCUUUGCAAAUUUUAAUUUCCCUUCUUUUCUCCAGCAGUCGUUUGAGUGGCCGGGAAGUAAUCAAAUAAUUUUCAAACUUUAAACUUUUCAAAUUCAGCCAUACGAUUUAUAAAGUUACCCAGCAGACCAAAAACGUAUUUUAUUUGACUGAUAUUUGCAUGAAUGACAUGUAAGAUCAGAAACAUAGUAAUUUAAACUCACUCGAGAUUCAUGUCAUUAUGUAAAUGACCAAAACCUGACUGUUAAGGUCGAAACGAUAAGUGAACCAUAUAUUUUCAAGCACAAGCUAAAACGAAACAGUCAAGCGAUGUCAAUAACGCCGGACGUUGUCUCAUUAUGUUUGUUCGAAAAUGUAUGACGCAGGUGCAUUCCAUCACAGUAUAAGUCAAGUUAUUUUAUUAUGAAAAAAAAAGAUUCACUAAACGUCUGCUGUCGAAAAUUGAUGGCAUUAACAGGCCUGAUCUCCUGAUUCAAAUCCUCUGGACUGUUUCUUUUUUUGAAAGGCAAUUUGUUUGCCAUCAAUUCUCAUGCUAUUAACGAGCUCAUGAUUCGUGCCGAAUUCAUCGUUUGGGAGUGGUGUAUAACAUUUUUCGAUUAAAUUUUGACUCUUCGAAGAAAGUCAAAGAGUUAUAUUUCAAUGCUGCCAAGAGAUUAACAUAUGCUUCUAAAUUGUGAAAUUUACUAUGACAGUAUAAAUGAGUAUUAAUGAAAACCUCGGGGGUCAAAAUAAAAACCUUUACUUCGCAUAUAUUUAUAUCAGAAAUAAAUACAUACACCUGAUGGCUGCAAAGCCUGGUUCCAUACAUGGUGUUGCAGUUGACGUUCAGAGUUAUGUGAAAAGGCAACUUGUUUAACUGAUUAAGUUUGACACAAAUUGGUUCAUUUCAACAGUCGCAUCGAUACCUUUUUUUCAUAGUUUCCAACAACUUUUUUUAAAUUAAAUUAAAUAUAAGAAUUACUAAGCGCUUGGCAGCUAUUUUUUACGACGAGAAAAGUUUGUAGGAACCCAGCGAAUGACGCUCCAAAAAUGAGCUGAAACUGAAAAACAAACAAAAUUCACUGAAGGCCAUCCCAGUCGAGACUUACAACAAGUGAUUGGAAAAUGGGAUUAAACGUUGCCAUGUUUGGCUUUGGAGACAAUUUCGAAGGCGUUAAUAAAUAUUUGUAUUCAAAUACAUGGAAAUAAAAGUUUUCUGUCGGUCCGGUUCAAAUUUGAUCAGUUGAUAUAUUACCUGUUAAUUACUCAUUAUUUAUUAAGUUCUGGAUUCAUCGGGUUAAACAUUUUUAGACGUCCUCCAGCCGUUGUUCAACGGCGUUUUCUAUCGAAAGAGUUAACCAGCAUUGCAGUUAUCCGACAACUGGACUGUAUCGAUAGAUGAAGAAAUCGGCUGGAAACAAAAAAAUUUUAUAUUGAUUUACAAAAGGGGAGACCAAAGUAACAGCGGCAUCUAAGACCGGAAAGCUGCUCCUGCAUAAUCCGAUGCGAAGCGGAUGCUUAAGAAGCUUUAUUUGCUUUUUGAAGUAAAAACUAAAAAUUGUGGAAUUCUGUAAGCAAAUCUAAAACAAGAACCUAACAGGAACCUACCAAAUUUGUCGGGAAGAUGGGAGAAGGUAACUUCAUAAUA
Molecule: non-coding RNA, 3267 nt
Organism: Bactrocera oleae (olive fruit fly)
Lineage: Eukaryota; Metazoa; Arthropoda; Insecta; Diptera; Tephritidae
Source: RefSeq, a predicted model, not a curated record